This is a long non-coding RNA of Oncorhynchus nerka (sockeye salmon), 137 nucleotides long. RefSeq lists it as uncharacterized. The transcript has 3 exons. The record is from RefSeq and is a predicted model, not a curated record. Lineage: Eukaryota; Metazoa; Chordata; Actinopteri; Salmoniformes; Salmonidae.
GACAUCCACGGAGUCCCCUACGUGAUCAACGUGACUCUGCCAGAUGAGAAGCAAAACUACGUCCAUCGCAUCGGUAGAGUGGGGAGAGCAGAGAGGAUGGGGUUGGCCAUCUCUCUGCUACAUGGAGAAGGAGAAGG